This 119-nucleotide ribosomal RNA is filed under the name Triticum aestivum (bread wheat). The record is from RNAcentral. Lineage: Eukaryota; Viridiplantae; Streptophyta; Magnoliopsida; Poales; Poaceae.
GGAUGCGAUCAUACCAGCACUAAAGCAUCGGAUCCCAUCAAAACUCCGAAGUUAAGCGUGCUUGGGCGAUAGUAGUACUAGAAUGGGUGACCUCCUGGGAAGUCCUCGUGUUGCAUUCC